CUAACACCCGCGCGGGAGGAAGCACUGGGGAGUGAGAGGAGGAGAGAGAGCCAGACUCCCAUCAGCCCCAGCCAGCAGAGUCCACCCUCCUGCAGCCAAAAGGUAAGAAACAGGAGGGUGGUUUAAAAAAAUGUGUCAGUGUGUAUGUAUCUAUGUGUACCAGAGUGUUUGUGUGUAUCUGUCAGUGUGUGUGUUUGUAUAUGUGUGUCAGUGUGCACCUGAGUGUAUGUGUGUAUCUGUGUUUGUGUCUGUGUAUCCAUCAGUGCGUGUAUCUUUGUGUUUGUUUGUAUCUGGGUGUCAGUGUGCACUUGUGUGUAUCUGUGUUUGUGUCUGUGUAUCUAUCAGUGUGUGUAUCUGUGUUUGUGUCUGUGUAUCUAUCAGUGUGUGUAUCUGUGUGUGUCUGUGUAUCUAUCAGUGUGUGUAUCUGUGUAUCUAUCUAUGU
This is a non-coding RNA of Pelobates cultripes (western spadefoot toad), 442 nucleotides long. The record is from the annotation of a GenBank genome assembly. Lineage: Eukaryota; Metazoa; Chordata; Amphibia; Anura; Pelobatidae.